RNAcentral lists this transfer RNA (73 nucleotides) under Gemmatimonadota bacterium. Its description in RNAcentral is "Gemmatimonadetes bacterium tRNA-Ala". It matches the Rfam family "tRNA". From Rfam's summary of the family: Transfer RNA (tRNA) molecules are approximately 80 nucleotides in length. Their secondary structure includes four short double-helical elements and three loops (D, anti-codon, and T loops). Lineage: Bacteria; Pseudomonadati; Gemmatimonadota. RNAcentral also lists the same sequence under 3 other names. The record is from RNAcentral.
GGGGCGGUAGCUCAGUUGGGAGAGCGCCUGCCUUGCACGCAGGAGGUCGUGGGUUCGAAUCCCAUCCGCUCCA